GGCCUUAUACAUGCAAGUCGAGGGGCAGCAUUUACUUCGGUAAAUGGCGACCGGCGCACGGGUGAGUAACGCGUAUGCAACCUACCUUUAACUGGGGCAUAGCUCGAGGAAACUCGAAUUAAUUCCCCAUAGUACAUUAUAAUAUCUCAUGAUAUAAAUGUUAAAGAUUUAUCGGUUAAAGAUGGGCAUGCGUCUGAUUAGUUUGUUGGUAAGGUAACGGCUUACCAAGACUACGAUCAGUAGGGGGUCUGAGAGGAUGAUCCCCCACACUGGUACUGAGACACGGACCAGACAUCUACGGAUGGCAGCAGUAAGGAAUAUUGGGCAAUGGGCGCAAGCCUGACCCAGCCAUGCCGCGUGCAGGAUGACGACCCUAUGGGUUGUAAACUGCUUUUAUAUAGGAAGAAAAUACUCUUGCGAGAGGAUCUGACGGUACUAUAUGAAUAAGGACCGG
RNAcentral lists this ribosomal RNA (454 nucleotides) under uncultured bacterium. RNAcentral's name for it is "bacterial SSU rRNA". It matches the Rfam family "Bacterial small subunit ribosomal RNA", at positions 45 to 496 of the family's 1533-position model. The record is from RNAcentral.